RNAcentral lists this ribosomal RNA (465 nucleotides) under uncultured bacterium. RNAcentral describes it as "partial 16S ribosomal RNA". It matches the Rfam family "Bacterial small subunit ribosomal RNA", at positions 28 to 507 of the family's 1533-position model. The record is from RNAcentral.
GAUGAACGCUGGCGGCGUGCUUAACACAUGCAAGUCGAACGGAAAGGCUCCUGCUUGCAGGGGUACUCGAGUGGCGAACGGGUGAGUAACACGUGGGUGAUCUGCCCUGCACUUCGGGAUAAGCCUGGGAAACUGGGUCUAAUACCGGAUAGGACCACAUUUUGGAUGGUGUGGUGGAAAGUUUUUCGGUGUGGGAUGAGCUCGCGGCCUAUCAGCUUGUUGGUGGGGUAAUGGCCUACCAAGGCGUCGACGGGUAGCCGGCCUGAGAGGGUGUACGGCCACAUUGGGACUGAGAUACGGCCCAGACUCCUACGGGAGGCAGCAGUGGGGAAUAUUGCACAAUGGGCGCAAGCCUGAUGCAGCGACGCCGCGUGGGGGAUGACGGCCUUCGGGUUGUAAACUCCUUUCGCUUGGGACGAAGCGCAAGUGACGGUACCUGGAGAAGAAGCACCGGCUAACUACGUG